CACGCCGCGCUAUUGCUAUGCCACCAACCGUCCACUCCCACGCCACCCACCCGGAGCCAGAUCUAGAUCGAGACCCCCUCCACCGGCGGCCUCCCGUCCCUCCUUCCUCAACCUCAUCUCCUCUGUCAGAGCAACCGUUCCAAUCUUUGAGAUCUCAGCUCCCCCUCCCCCUCCUCCUCCACCCUCGUCUUGCCGCUGCUGAUCCUCCUGCUGCUGCUGCUGCUCGUGCAGGAGAGAGGAGGCCAUGACGCCAUCACCAUCGCCACCCUGGACAUGGACGUAGACAUGGGGGUGGAGGCGACGCAGAUGGGCGCGGAACCGGCGGCGCACGGGCGGCUGCUGUGGGCGACCGGCGGCGGGCGGAGGUACAUCAGCUACGACGCGCUACGGGGGACGUUGUGUUGUGCUCCCGGCCAGGGGUGCCCUACUACAACUGCCGCAUCAGCACCACCGCCAACCCCUACACCCGCGGCUGCGAGUCCAUCACCCACUGUCGCGAGGACGACCCUUCCUAGGUUGUAAACAGAAUCCAGAAAUUACGGAAGACUACUCAGCUUGAACCUACAGACUUAAUUGAUGUUUACUACGAGUCUGUAGACAACAGCAGCAAUACACUUGAAGAAAUUUUGCAGUCACAGGAUCAGUGUAUUAGGGACGUGCUUGGUAAUUCACUAGUUCCAAAGGCAGCGGCAACAUCAGAUAUGACUCUGGUAAUUGGCCUAAUUAAAUAUUAAGUUUCACAUCAUAAUAAACACCAAAGUUGGCCAGAGGUUGUAUUGUUGGCCAACCUGAGAGCAUAAGCAGCUGGGCAGUGUUUGUGCUGUGACGUUUUGAUCCUAUCAUGUAGUCUCGCCGUCUCGGUGUUCGUGUAUGUACUACCUAUAACUCCUAUAUGUAACUAAGAUUUGAUUCCAACUCCCAAGAUAUUAUUGCACGGGGGAACCUGGAUUGUAGGGAGUGUUAUAUUAAAGAACCUGGAUUAUAUGGUGCGUAAUUGAUCCAGACAGGGCUUGGUUGUGAUCCCCCUAGUCUUUCCUGUAUGUUUUUUGCUGGGUCAGUAACGACUGACGGAUGAAAAAUUUAUCCCAUGCUAGGAGUAGGAGGCACUACUGAACUUUGCAGCGAUGCUGAAGCAACGGAUGACACCAGAAACAAACUGUCACUAGUUUCCAGUUUGAUGCUGAAUUAUGAAUGAAUGCCUAGACAAAGUUGGAUUUCGUGUUGCUGACCGACUGCUGCUUGGGCCCUUCGCGUGGCGUCGUCUCUUCCUUUCACGAAGUUUGUUCUUUACGUAUUCUGACUAGUGGUUUACUAUCUCUCUACAUAGUUUCUUAGAUGGAAACCUCAUAGAGUAGUUAGUGUACAGCCAGAGUCCAGUAUGAUAUCUCAAUCUUGAAUAAAGCAUUUGAAUUUAAGCUAGUAGAUAUUGAGCUUUGUGAUUGAAGUGUCUGUUGAAUACAUCUAAUCUGAACAAUUUCACAUUUGCUUCUCUGAUAAGUAAGGUUUGUUUUCAUUUACAAGUAGAAGAUAGUGAUAGAGUUUGAAGGUAUGUGCAAAGAUCUUCUCCUCCGUCGCCGUCCGCGACAAAGCUGUUGGGUGCAUCCGUCCAUCAUCUUUAGAUCUGAGUGAAGAGGGCAUCCGUCCAUCUCAAAAGGAUAUGGAUGACCAUCUGAUGGUAUGCAGGUUUCUUCCCAAACUUAACGAUGAGAUACUAGGUGAAAGAAAUGCUCUCUACAAGGAAAGGUUGAGCAGCCUAGAGAAUUUAGUACUGAUCAUGAGGUGAUCGACGCAGACUACCGCGACCCGGUGGGCGUCGUGCUCUUCAACAACUCGGAGGCGGAUUUUGCUGUGAAGCCCGGCGACCGCGUCACACAGAUGAUUGUCUAGGUGAUUGCGAUGCCGAAGCUCGCCGAGGUGGAGGACCUUGACGUCACCGUCUGGAGGUCAUCGAGGUGGAGGACCUCGACGCCAUCGUCUCGAGGUUGCCGAGGUGGAGGAUCUCGACGCCACCGUCUCGAGGUUGCCAAGGUGAAGGACCUCGACGCCUUGGUAGAUACAUCUAGAGAAGUGGUCAUGUUAGGUUGGUGGUGGAACGCUAGGGAAGGUACCCACCUUUCGGUGACGGUUGUGUGCGUCUGAUGUAUAAAUGGUAUCUCGUGAUUAGAUGUUCAAUGUUGUAUCCAUGAAUGUUGCAAGUGCUAAGAUGGUUCUGUGACAUUUUAUUUUGCC
Long non-coding RNA from Triticum aestivum (bread wheat), 2229 nucleotides. RefSeq lists it as uncharacterized. Lineage: Eukaryota; Viridiplantae; Streptophyta; Magnoliopsida; Poales; Poaceae. The record is from RefSeq and is a predicted model, not a curated record. The transcript is spliced from 6 exons.